UGAGAUGGUUGACUGGCGUCAGGGGUGACCAGGACAUGUCAUUUGCAUCAUAUGCAUAUUUGCAUUUAUUGCUUGUAUUUGCUGCACUUUAUUUGCUACAUAUUGGAUGGAUGCAUAUGAUUGAUAUGCAUACAGGGACAUGAGGUAUCUGGUCUGAUGACCUUUAUGUCAGGAUAGGAGGCCCUGGUUAAUGCUGUCAGGAGGUUCCAGUCGCUAGUCCCCACUUCGUAUCGCGACGGGUUCACUUAUUUUGGCUUUCUGGGUUCCUUGUUAUGUAUUUCUGAUCUACUUGUUGAUCCAUAUACUUAUGUUUGUACUCGAGGAGUUUUAUCAAGUUUUUGGUCUAUUACACUUAUUUUUC
Molecule: long non-coding RNA, 361 nt
Organism: Zingiber officinale
Lineage: Eukaryota; Viridiplantae; Streptophyta; Magnoliopsida; Zingiberales; Zingiberaceae
Exons: 2
Source: RefSeq, a predicted model, not a curated record